RNAcentral lists this non-coding RNA (148 nucleotides) under Homo sapiens (human). Lineage: Eukaryota; Metazoa; Chordata; Mammalia; Primates; Hominidae. The record is from Rfam by way of RNAcentral.
GCCAGGUGUGGUCGUGGGCACCUGUAAUCCCAGCUACUCAGGAGGCUGAGACAGGAGAAUCGCUUGAACCCGGGAGGCAGAGGUUGCAGUGAGCUGAGAUCAUGCCACUGCACUCCAGCCUGGGUGACAGAGCGAGACUCUGUCUCAA